This is a non-coding RNA of Coturnix japonica (Japanese quail), 411 nucleotides long. The record is from RefSeq and is a predicted model, not a curated record. NCBI's taxonomy places the organism in Eukaryota, Metazoa, Chordata, Aves, Galliformes, Phasianidae.
CGCUCCGCAGCGCCCCCAGCGGCGGGGCGGACCGUUGUGCGGGGCGGCAUCGUGCCGGUCCAUGAGCUGCCGGCACCAGUCGAAGCGAUGGCGGGGUGAAGGAAUGCCUAGGGCUUGUUAGUAGCCCGGAUCUGUGCUAUGCAUGAAAGAAAAGCUGGGAAUAUGGGAUGAGGAAAAGGCUAUGCAGGUGUCCAGAAUGGUGGAGCAGUUUGGAUGUGUUCAGAGCAGCUGCAGAUUCUUGGCCAGUUCUGCAGCACUUGACCCCCAAAAGAGCCAAGAGUGGCAGUGGAGGAGGCGUUGGUGGUGAGUGCACAGGGAUGAAUCACUUUUGCUUCAGCAAUGAACACAGUUGAGUCAAGAUGAAUUUCUCAACUACUGUUAUGUUAUGCACAUAAAAUAUGAGAUGGGAGG